Myotis lucifugus (little brown bat) is the source of this 423-nucleotide non-coding RNA. The record is from the annotation of a RefSeq genome assembly. NCBI's taxonomy places the organism in Eukaryota, Metazoa, Chordata, Mammalia, Chiroptera, Vespertilionidae.
AUGGCCUGGGCCCCUCUCCUCCUCACCCUCCUGGCUCACUGCACAGGGUCCCUCUCCCAGUUUGUGGUGACUCAGCCGCCCUCCCUCUCCGCAUCUCUGGGAGCCACAGCCAGACUCACCUGCACCCUGAGCAGUGAUGUCAGUAUUGGUAACAAAUAUAUAUACUGGUUCCAGCAGAAGCCCGGGAGCCCUCCCCGUUAUCUCCUGAGAUAUAGCUCAGACUCAUAUAAGGACCAGGGCUUGGGGGUCCCCAGCCGCUUCUCUGGAUCUAAAGACACUUCGGCCAAUGCGGGACACCUGCUCAUCUCGGGGCUGCAGCCUGAGGAUGAGACGGACUAUUACUGUCUGAUCGGGCACAAUAACAUUUGUCACAGUGACACACACAGAUGGGGAAGUGGGACAAAAACCUCCCGUCUGCCCUAG